This 376-nucleotide ribosomal RNA is filed under the name uncultured Actinomycetales bacterium. RNAcentral's name for it is "bacterial SSU rRNA". It matches the Rfam family "Bacterial small subunit ribosomal RNA", at positions 355 to 730 of the family's 1533-position model. Lineage: Bacteria; Bacillati; Actinomycetota; Actinomycetes; Actinomycetales. The record is from RNAcentral.
UGGGGAAUUUUGCACAAUGGACGGAAGUCUGAUGCAGCGACGCCGCGUGAGGGAUGGAGGCCUUCGGGUUGUGAACCUCUUUCGCUCAUGGUCAAGCCGCAGCUUUGGGUUGUGGUGAGGGUAGUGGGUAAAGAAGCGCCGGCUAACUACGUGCCAGCAGCCGCGGUAAUACGUAGGGCGCGAGCGUUGUCCGGAAUUAUUGGGCGUAAAGGGCUUGUAGGCGGUUGGUUGCGUCUGCCGUGAAAUCCUCUGGCUUAACUGGGGGCGUGCGGUGGGUACGGGCUGGCUUGAGUGCGGUAGGGGAGACUGGAAUUCCUGGUGUAGCGGUGGAAUGCGCAGAUAUCAGGAGGAACACCGGUGGCGAAGGCGGGUCUCU